AUUGUAGUCUGGAGAAGCGUCCUCUGCAACGGACCGGACCCAAGUUCCCUGGAACGGGACGUCGGAAAGGGUGAGAGCCCCGUCGAGUUCGGACCCUGUUGCUCCACGAGGCGCUGUCUGCGAGUCGGGCUGUUUGGGAAUGCAGCCCUAAGCGGGUGGUAAAUUCCAUCCAAGGCUAAAUAUUGGCAAGAGACCGAUAGCGAACAAGUACCGCGAGGGAAAGAUGAAAAGGACUUUGAAAAGAGAGUUAAAAAGUGCUUGAAAUUGCUGGGAGGGAAGCGAAUGGAAGCUGCGGGUGCGCCUCGGUUGGAUGCGGAACGGCGAAAGCUGGUCCGCCGCUCAACGCGGGGCGCUGGUCAGCGUGGGCCACCGUGGCGGGACAAGAGUCGGCUGUAGUUGCUGGCCUAUGCCGUUGCGGUGGCCGAGGGACGAAGCGCGCGCCACUAGGCGGGCCUUAGGGCACCUGCGCGCUCGGGACGCUGGCGUAUUGAGCUCUCCAUCCGACCCGUCUUGAAACACGGACCAAGGAGUCUAACAUGUAUGCGAGCCGGUGGGCGGCAAACCCAUUGAGGCGCAAGGAACCUGACA
RNAcentral lists this ribosomal RNA (588 nucleotides) under Diphyscium foliosum. RNAcentral's name for it is "eukaryotic LSU rRNA". It matches the Rfam family "Eukaryotic large subunit ribosomal RNA", at positions 142 to 730 of the family's 3401-position model. The record is from RNAcentral. Lineage: Eukaryota; Viridiplantae; Streptophyta; Bryopsida; Diphysciales; Diphysciaceae.